GUGAGCCAAUUAUAUGCUACCUUGAUCAUGAAAAAACUGAUACUAUUCAACAUUGAAGUAAAAUUUAUUUAGCAGAGUAAACAUGAAUCUUAAGUCUUUUGGUUAUGUCAACUGUGGAUCCUUAAGUCAAUUGAGUUUCCCUGCAGUUCCAAGAGGAACUUGAACGUGGAGAGAGAUAUUGGGGAUGACAGUGUGAGCUAUGGGAUGACGGAGAUGAUAUCUACUUGCGUUCUUGGACAACAUCAUUGGUCCCCAAAAUGUUCAUCUACUCUUUUAUGGGAGCGGGGGCUUGGCUCCAUGGCAUUACUUUCAUAGGUUGUAUCGCCACAAGUUUUAAACUUUGGUCAAAGUUUUUAAAUGAAUUAUAUCAUGCAAGUUGGAUUGUAUAAACUUAAAUUUUGUUCAAAAGUUUCAGCUCUGGAUUCUAUAUCCUAUACUUUCCUUAACUCUUUGAUAUCUUUAGUAUAGUCUACUCAUAAUGGUACUAACUCUGGUGGAAGCAGCUUUGGUAGCGUUCAUAGCAAUAAAUUGCCAUUGGGACAAGGUGUUGCUUCGUUAACAAUAUUGAAUAUUGUUUCAGUAAUAUCUACAAGGGUUUUCACCGUGCUUGUUUACCCAAUAAAGUUAACAUGUUUUAUCAUGCCUACACGGGAUCUUCCACUUGAGUUAACCGGUGACCUUGAGGGUCUUCGAUCUGUCAUUGAAGAGAACAAUGAAAUCUGUAAGUGGCAUGGGUUGGGAUAGCUGUUGUUGGAAUACAGGCUUUAUCUCUGCUACUAGUAAUAAUUCUACGGGGCAUGAUAUAUACUCAUAAAGCUGACUAUGGUGUUGAAGAUGAGUAUGAUACUAGGGGUAGAACAUGGGAACCACUGCUAAAUCAACAGACAAGCCAAGCAUCUGGAUCAACCAAGGGUGAUGGUAGAGUGACUCACUCUGACAUUUGGAGCUCACGAAUAGGAGAUAAGAUUGCAAGAAUUAUAUGGAACAAUGGCUCAUCUUCAAAACUUUGAUGCCUCAAUUAGCUGAUAUCUCUGGAGGAUUAUCCGCUUGAAGAAUCAUAGCUGUUACAUAAUUGGCUAAUUAAAUUAAAGCUUUUGCUACUUAUAUUUAGUCACUCUAAAUUAGUGUAGUUGCUCUAGAUGGUAGUUUUUUGCCUUAUGAGUUUAUUGAGCAGAUGCUCAUUAGGUUUAUGUAUGAAACAAUUAUGGAUGUAUUUGUUGGCUAUAA
Rosa rugosa (rugosa rose) is the source of this 1227-nucleotide long non-coding RNA. RefSeq lists it as uncharacterized. Lineage: Eukaryota; Viridiplantae; Streptophyta; Magnoliopsida; Rosales; Rosaceae. The transcript has 4 exons. The record is from RefSeq and is a predicted model, not a curated record.